UUAUGUAUAGCUCAGUUGGUAGAGCAAAGGACUAUAGAUUCUUAAGUCGUCAGUUCAAAUUCAGCAAGCUGGAUAAU
This 77-nucleotide transfer RNA is filed under the name Amborella trichopoda. Its description in RNAcentral is "tRNA-Tyr". The record is from RNAcentral. Lineage: Eukaryota; Viridiplantae; Streptophyta; Magnoliopsida; Amborellales; Amborellaceae.